UUCUUAGGUGUUGCCUUAGAGCAGGAA
RNAcentral lists this non-coding RNA (27 nucleotides) under Mus musculus (house mouse). The record is from RNAcentral. Lineage: Eukaryota; Metazoa; Chordata; Mammalia; Rodentia; Muridae.